Mangifera indica (mango) is the source of this 447-nucleotide long non-coding RNA. RefSeq lists it as uncharacterized. Lineage: Eukaryota; Viridiplantae; Streptophyta; Magnoliopsida; Sapindales; Anacardiaceae. The transcript is spliced from 2 exons. The record is from RefSeq and is a predicted model, not a curated record.
GGACAAGCUACGAGAAGAUGAGUAAGUGGAGAAACUGGCUGUGCUUCAAACAAUCGUUUUUCUUUCCAGCCAAGCGCAUUCUUCUCAAGGUUACUUCAGGCUUUAUGCACAAGAACAAAGGUAACAGGGAUGUCCUUCUGAGUCUCUACAAGGACAUGGAGUCUUGUAGGGAAUAUGAAGAUAUACAAGUGAUGUGGGCAAUGAUUCAUUCUUCUUGUCCACAGAAUUCCAGAAAUACCAGAAUGAACAAGAGACCUUUCUAUUGGAGAUUUUGUUUCAGGCCAACUUGAAUCGUGUCAUUUUGUUCCAAUGAAGAGAGGUUCCACUUACCCUUCCUAGUUUUCUCUUCUAGCUUGGAUUGGAGUAGAUUUUCCCCCUUAUGAGAAGGGAAAAUUGCCUUAUUGUCAUGUAAUUAUCAAGAAAUCAGUAAAGACUGGAGUUUGUGUU